GAUGAACGCUGGCGGCGUGCCUAAUACAUGCAAGUCGAGCGAACAGAUGAGGAGCUUGCUCCUCUGACGUUAGCGGCGGACGGGCGAGUAACACGUGGAUAACCUACCUAUAAGACUGGGAUAACUUCGGGAAACCGGAGCUAAUACCGGAUAAUAUAUUGAACCGCAUGGUUCAAUAGUGAAAGACGGUUUUGCUGUCACUUAUAGAUGGAUCCGCGCCGCAUUAGCUAGUUGGUAAGGUAACGGCUUACCAAGGCAACGAUGCGUAGCAGACCUGAGAGGGUGAUCGGCCACACUGGAACUGAGACACGGUCCAGACUCCUACGGGAGGCAGCAGUAGGGAAUCUUCCGCAAUGGGCGAAAGCCUGACGGAGCAACGCCGCGUGAGUGAUGAAGGUCUUCGGAUCGUAAAACUCUGUUAUUAGGGAAGAACAAAUGUGUAAGUAACUAUGCACGUCUUGACGGUACCUAAUCAGAAAGCCACGGCUAACUACGUG
Molecule: ribosomal RNA, 497 nt
Filed under: uncultured bacterium
Lineage: Bacteria
Description: partial 16S ribosomal RNA
Rfam family: Bacterial small subunit ribosomal RNA
Source: RNAcentral